AUUGAACGCUGGCGGCAGGCCUAACACAUGCAAGUCGAGCGGAUGAAGGGAGCUUGCUCCUGGAUUCAGCGGCGGACGGGUGAGUAAUGCCUAGGAAUCUGCCUGGUAGUGGGGGAUAACGUCCGGAAACGGGCGCUAACACCGCAUACGUCCUGAGGGAGAAAGUGGGGGACCUUCGGACCUCACGCUAUCAGAUGAGCCUAGGUCGGAUUAGCUAGUUGGUGGGGUAAAGGCCUACCAAGGCGACGAUCCGUAACUGGUCUGAGAGGAUGAUCAGUCACACUGGAACUGAGACACGGUCCAGACUCCUACGGGAGGCAGCAGUGGGGAAUAUUGGACAAUGGGCGAAAGCCUGAUCCAGCCAUGCCGCGUGUGUGAAGAAGGUCUUCGGAUUGUAAAGCACUUUAAGUUGGGAGGAAGGGCAGUAAGUUAAUACCUUGCUGUUUUGACGUUACCAACAGAAUAAGCACCGGCUAACUUCGUG
RNAcentral lists this ribosomal RNA (484 nucleotides) under uncultured bacterium. Its description in RNAcentral is "partial 16S ribosomal RNA". It matches the Rfam family "Bacterial small subunit ribosomal RNA", at positions 30 to 507 of the family's 1533-position model. The record is from RNAcentral.